RNAcentral lists this ribosomal RNA (427 nucleotides) under uncultured bacterium. Its description in RNAcentral is "partial 16S ribosomal RNA". It matches the Rfam family "Bacterial small subunit ribosomal RNA", at positions 355 to 774 of the family's 1533-position model. The record is from RNAcentral.
UGGGGAAUAUUGCACAAUGGGCGCAAGCCUGAUGCAGCCAUGCCGCGUGUAUGAAGAAGGCCUUCGGGUUGUAAAGUACUUUCAGCGAGGAGGAAGGCGUUGUGGUUAAUAACCGCAACGAUUGACGUUACACGCAGAAGAAGCACCGGCUAACUCCGUGCCAGCAGCCGCGGUAAUACGGAGGGUGCAAGCGUUAAUCGGAAUUACUGGGCGUAAAGCGCACGCAGGCGGUAUGUCAAGUCGGAUGUGAAAUCCCCGGGCUCAACCUGGGAACUGCAUCCGAAACUGGCAGGCUAGAGUCUUGUAGAGGGGGGUAGAAUUCCAGGUGUAGCGGUGAAAUGCGUAGAGAUCUGGAGGAAUACCGGUGGCGAAGGCGGCCCCCUGGACAAAGACUGACGCUCAGGUGCGAAAGCGUGGGGAGCAAACA